GGCUCAGUAGCUCAGUUGGUUAGAGCGCCGGCCUGUCACGCCGGAGGUCGUGGGGUCGAGCCCCAUCUGAGUCG
RNAcentral lists this transfer RNA (74 nucleotides) under Firmicutes bacterium AM29-6AC. RNAcentral describes it as "tRNA-Asp". It matches the Rfam family "tRNA". From Rfam's summary of the family: Transfer RNA (tRNA) molecules are approximately 80 nucleotides in length. Their secondary structure includes four short double-helical elements and three loops (D, anti-codon, and T loops). Lineage: Bacteria; Bacillati; Bacillota. The record is from RNAcentral.